Molecule: ribosomal RNA, 508 nt
Filed under: uncultured bacterium
Lineage: Bacteria
Description: partial 16S ribosomal RNA
Rfam family: Bacterial small subunit ribosomal RNA
Source: RNAcentral
AUUGAACGCUGGCGGCAGGCCUAACACAUGCAAGUCGAGCGGCAGCGGGAAAGUAGCUUGCUACUUUUGCCGGCGAGCGGCGGACGGGUGAGUAAUGCCUGGGGAUCUGCCCAGUCGAGGGGGAUAACAGUUGGAAACGACUGCUAAUACCGCAUACGCCCUACGGGGGAAAGGAGGGGACCUUCGGGCCUUUCGCGAUUGGAUGAACCCAGGUGGGAUUAGCUAGUUGGUGGGGUAAUGGCUCACCAAGGCGACGAUCCCUAGCUGGUCUGAGAGGAUGAUCAGCCCCACUGGAACUGAGACACGGUCCAGACUCCUACGGGAGGCAGCAGUGGGGAAUAUUGCACAAUGGGGGAAACCCUGAUGCAGCCAUGCCGCGUGUGUGAAGAAGGCCUUCGGGUUGUAAAGCACUUUCAGCGAGGAGGAAAGGUUGUUGGCUAAUACCCAGCAACUGUGACGUUACUCGCAGAAGAAGCACCGGCUAACUCCGUGCCAGCCGCCGCCGUAA